RNAcentral lists this ribosomal RNA (375 nucleotides) under uncultured Bacteroidales bacterium. Its description in RNAcentral is "bacterial SSU rRNA". It matches the Rfam family "Bacterial small subunit ribosomal RNA", at positions 40 to 414 of the family's 1533-position model. The record is from RNAcentral. Lineage: Bacteria; Pseudomonadati; Bacteroidota; Bacteroidia; Bacteroidales.
CUACAGGCUUAACACAUGCAAGUCGAGGGGUAGCAGGGUAGCAAUACCGCUGACGACCGGCGCACGGGUGAGUAACACGUAUCCAACCUUCCCAUAACUCGGGGAUAGCCUUUCGAAAGAAAGAUUAAUACCCGAUAGUACUUUAUCAAGGCAUCUUCUUAAAGUUAAAGAUUUAUUGGUUAUGGAUGGGGAUGCGUUCCAUUAGAUAGUUGGUGAGGUAACGGCUCACCAAGUCUUCGAUGGAUAGGGGUUCUGAGAGGAAGGUCCCCCACAUUGGUACUGAGACACGGACCAAACUCCUACGGGAGGCAGCAGUGAGGAAUAUUGGUCAAUGGGCGAGAGCCUGAACCAGCCAAGUAGCGUGAAGGAUGACGG